AAAUUGAAGAGUUUGAUCAUGGCUCAGAUUGAACGCUGGCGGCAGGCCUAACACAUGCAAGUCGAACGGUAACAGGAAGCAGCUUGCUGUUUCGCUGACGAGUGGCGGACGGGUGAGUAAUGUCUGGGAAACUGCCUGAUGGAGGGGGAUAACUACUGGAAACGGUGGCUAAUACCGCAUAACGUCGCAAGACCAAAGAGGGGGACCUUCGGGCCUCUUGCC
Molecule: ribosomal RNA, 222 nt
Filed under: Salmonella enterica
Lineage: Bacteria; Pseudomonadati; Pseudomonadota; Gammaproteobacteria; Enterobacterales; Enterobacteriaceae
Description: partial 16S ribosomal RNA
Rfam family: Bacterial small subunit ribosomal RNA
Source: RNAcentral